Molecule: long non-coding RNA, 577 nt
Filed under: Marmota monax (woodchuck)
Lineage: Eukaryota; Metazoa; Chordata; Mammalia; Rodentia; Sciuridae
Source: RNAcentral
CUUCAAUUGGAAAUGGAGUCAUCUCAGUUGUAAACAGUUAAGAUGAAGUCAUAUUGGAUUAGGGUGGGUCCCUAAUCCAAUAUGCCUGGUGUCCUCAUAAAAGGGGAAAUUUGGAGACAGGCACACACAAGGGGAGAAUGCCAUGGGAUGAUGAAGGCUGAGAUCAGGGUGAUGUACAAGCCAAGGAAUGGCAGAGAUUGCCAGAAAAUCACCAGAAGCCAGGAGAGAGGCAUAGAAUGGAUUUUCCCUCAGAGCCCUCAGAAAAAAACUAGAUAAUAUCUUGAUUUCUGUACUUCCAUCACUGGGGGGGAGUAAAUUUCUGUUGCAGAUAAAUUUCUUCACAGAUCGCAGCCCUAGUGCACUAAUCUUAAGCCCUCUCCCCUACACUCCACUCACCCUCGCCUUAAAAACUCUGCACUUGGGACUCCCCUUCUGGGGCUGUAAAGAACAGGGAAGGGAGCUGCCUUCCAAGGGCUGGGACAGAGAUCCAGCCAGAGCUCUAUAGAGGAUGCUGGGGCUUUGUGGGGCCAAGAAGACAGGACCUUAAGCAGCACCUUCCUGAUGAGAGUGUGAAUGG